This 512-nucleotide ribosomal RNA is filed under the name uncultured Acinetobacter sp. Its description in RNAcentral is "bacterial SSU rRNA". It matches the Rfam family "Bacterial small subunit ribosomal RNA", at positions 655 to 1167 of the family's 1533-position model. Lineage: Bacteria; Pseudomonadati; Pseudomonadota; Gammaproteobacteria; Moraxellales; Moraxellaceae. The record is from RNAcentral.
AGGAUGGUAGAAUUCCAGGUGUAGCGGUGAAAUGCGUAGAGAUCUGGAGGAAUACCGAUGGCGAAGGCAGCCAUCUGGCCUAAUACUGACGCUGAGGUACGAAAGCAUGGGGAGCAAACAGGAUUAGAUACCCUGGUAGUCCAUGCCGUAAACGAUGUCUACUAGCCGUUGGGGCCCUUGAGGCUUUAGUGGCGCAGCUAACGCGAUAAGUAGACCGCCUGGGGAGUACGGUCGCAAGACUAAAACUCAAAUGAAUUGACGGGGGCCCGCACAAGCGGUGGAGCAUGUGGUUUAAUUCGAUGCAACGCGAAGAACCUUACCUGGCCUUGACAUACAGAGAACUUUCCAGAGAUGGAUUGGUGCCUUCGGGAACUCUGAUACAGGUGCUGCAUGGCUGUCGUCAGCUCGUGUCGUGAGAUGUUGGGUUAAGUCCCGCAACGAGCGCAACCCUUUUCCUUAUUUGCCAGCACUUCGGGUGGGAACUUUAAGGAUACUGCCAGUGACAAACUGGA